This 72-nucleotide transfer RNA is filed under the name Gadus morhua (Atlantic cod). RNAcentral describes it as "tRNA-Pro (AGG) (tRNA-Pro-AGG-12-1)". The record is from RNAcentral. Lineage: Eukaryota; Metazoa; Chordata; Actinopteri; Gadiformes; Gadidae.
GGCUCGUUGGUCUAGGGGUAUGAUUCUCGCUUAGGGUGCGAGAGGUCCCGGGUUCGAAGCCCGGACGAGCCC